GAAUACCGAUGGCGAAGGCAGCUUCCUGGCAUCAUACUGACACUGAGGCUCGAAAGCGUGGGUAGCAAACAGGAUUAGAUACCCUGGUAGUCCACGCCGUAAACGAUGUCUACUAGUCGUUGGGUCCCUUGAGGACUUAGUGACGCAGCUAACGCAAUAAGUAGACCGCCUGGGGAGUACGGCCGCAAGGUUAAAACUCAAAUGAAUUGACGGGGGCCCGCACAAGCGGUGGAGCAUGUGGUUUAAUUCGAUGCAACGCGAAGAACCUUACCUGGUCUUGACAUACACAGAAUCUUGUAGAGAUACGAGAGUGCCUUCGGGAAUUGUGAUACAGGUGCUGCAUGGCUGUCGUCAGCUCGUGUCGUGAGAUGUUGGGUUAAGUCCCGCAACGAGCGCAACCCUUGUCCUUAGUUACCAGCGGGUUAAGCCGGGAACUCUAAGGAUACUGCCAGUGACAAACUGGAGGAAGGCGGGGACGACGUCAAGUCAUCAUGGCCCUUACGACCAGGGCUACACACGUGCUACAAUGGUAGGUACAGAGGGCAGCUACACAGCGAUGUGAUGCGAAUCUCAAAAAGCCUAUCGUAGUCCAGAUUGGAGUCUGCAACUCGACUCCAUGAAGUAGGAAUCGCUAGUAAUCGCGGAUCAGAAUGCCGCGGUGAAUACGUUCCCGGGCCUUGUACACACCGCCCGUCACACCAUGGGAGUUGAUUGCACCAGAAGUGGUUAGCCUAACUU
This 738-nucleotide ribosomal RNA is filed under the name Psychrobacter celer. Its description in RNAcentral is "bacterial SSU rRNA". It matches the Rfam family "Bacterial small subunit ribosomal RNA", at positions 704 to 1441 of the family's 1533-position model. The record is from RNAcentral. Lineage: Bacteria; Pseudomonadati; Pseudomonadota; Gammaproteobacteria; Moraxellales; Moraxellaceae.